UGGCCAUCAAUCGGAAAAGCCGGUGUCGUCUCACCUUCUUCUCCGAGCCAUUCAGGUCGCGAUUCAGUUGUCAAGGUGGGCAGGGAGUCGAGCCCUGAUUCCUUUCCAUCUCCGCCGCCAUGGUUCUGCCGCCACUUCUGCUGUCUGUGGACAGCUGGUGAUUCAGCGUUGUUGCUCCAUUCACGACGCCGCCGUUGCUGUUACACCAUUCCCUCCAGGGCAGCAAGAGUUGCCGCCGUCGUUGUCGUUGUCUUGGCUCGACCGAACAGGCAGCCGACCCUAUUUCUUAAAGCUAAGUUCUCUAGUCUCAUUUGUUUUCUAUUCCGUGACGGAGUGUCGAUGAGUAUGCAAAAUGAAUCUCGAAACAACAAUGUUGGGGCUAAGUCGGUGUCUUUGUUAUAUCUAUCAUGCUUAUGUGAGUCCUAUAUCAUCUGGAACUGAUUAUGCUCUGGUACGAAUGCUUACUAGAAUGGAUAUCUGAAAUAGAAUUAAUACCUUGGGAAUGAAUGUUGGUUGGCUGUUUGCCGUUGGGUUUAACGAACUGGAAUGAUUGAACUGAAAAGAUCGAACUUGUUCAUUUCAAUAAAUGCGAGUUGUAAUUUGAAGGAGAUGAUGAAUCAAAGCUACUCUUACCUUAAAGUUUCUGGCGAGAAGUGAAUGAGUGGUUUGUCUUGCUUUUCGGAUAUGGCGUGUUGAAUGAACUCGAACUGAAAUUAAUUGGUGUUGUUGCUUCAGUAAUUGCAGGUGAUUAAUGGAAGGAGAUGGAGUAUUAAAGCAAGGCUUACCUUGAGGACUUGGUUGAACGAAAGGAAUACUACUCUGCUCUUUGGAAAGAACUCUUGGUGACAGAGAAAUGAUAGAGAAUGUUGUGUUCUCCGCUGGAGUUGAGACUAAGUGGAGGAGGAGUUGUUGCUGCAUACUUGAGUAUGCUAGCUAAAAAUGUGCAGAGAUAGGGUGGCUGAUGUAUGGGUUAGAUGGGAUGGGGGCAGCCAUAGGGGUGGUUGAAUGACUCCUGCUGUACUUGGCAAUAGAGGAGAAGGGUGGAUAGAGGCUGCCCUCGUGCAGCUCAUGUUCCCACUUCCUUUUUUUUUUUGUUUACUCGGUGUUGGUGUAAUUAGGAAGAUAGAAAUGAAAGUUGAUUGUGAGCAAAAGGUUGCAAAGUUUGAGAAUGAGAUUGUGGUGAAUAAAUGAAGUAUAUUCUUAUGUCUCGGUGAUUUUGUACUUGUAUAUGAAUCGCGUGCUCGUAUCUGCUUGAUACUGCCUAUUUAAUAAAUCUCGUAUUUCGACA
This 1288-nucleotide long non-coding RNA is filed under the name Salvia miltiorrhiza (redroot sage). RNAcentral's name for it is "long non-coding RNA (SMIL_LNC010365)". Lineage: Eukaryota; Viridiplantae; Streptophyta; Magnoliopsida; Lamiales; Lamiaceae. The record is from RNAcentral.